Long non-coding RNA from Cydia fagiglandana, 1764 nucleotides. RefSeq lists it as uncharacterized. NCBI's taxonomy places the organism in Eukaryota, Metazoa, Arthropoda, Insecta, Lepidoptera, Tortricidae. The record is from RefSeq and is a predicted model, not a curated record. The transcript is spliced from 2 exons.
AACAUUUUUUUAACAAUAAACAUUAUAUUGAUAUUCCUAAGUUAUUAUACAUAGUAUGAAACAUAAAUACAUCUCCAGUUAUACAUUAUACGUCUAUAUACAUUCCUAUCGUCCAGUACACAUUUCUGUAAAAAAAAGCGAUUAUAUUAGGUAAAAAUUUCGUACGUAGAGAUUUUGCAGGAAGCAACCAGUUGUUUGCAGCAUUUUUUUCAACAGUUAUUCUUUGGAUAGUUGAAAGAAUAGCACAAAAAUUAUUUUCGUUACUAUGUUUUAAGGCGACUAGCCUAUUCAUAUGAAUAAUAUACUGGUUUAAUUAUAUAAUAAAUUCCACCAAAUAUAGCACACAAUAUAAGGAUUACCUUACCUAUUACAACUGAAUAAGAUUAAAAAAAAUGUUUGAUAUCUAUAGCAGAUAGCUUUACCUUAGUAAAUUCAAUAUUUCCUAUUUGAAUAGGGAGGGUAAUUUAAACAUAAUGAGUAUUCAUAUUACCACGACGAUUAAACAUGUUAUUAUCUGUGUUACAAUGAAUCUAUAAUUAUAAAUAAAAGCGAGUGCACUAUACAUGGUUUGGUUAUAAGUAUGAAAUAAUACACGUUUCAAGAUAAAACAAAAUGGUACAAUACUAGUAUAUUUAGAAUCUUUUUACUAAAUUAAAUAAAUCUGCGUAGACUAAACACAACAAGAUAUACAAAAACGACCUAACCGAAAACCUAACAUUAACCUGCCUGAAAAUAAUAAUAAGAAAUAAAGUGUUGUACACAGUGGCGGAUUUGCCCUAAGCAUAGAAGGCCCUGGCCUAGGGCGGCUAGAUAUUAUGGGCGGCAGUCUAUACAGAAAGGUAAAACUUAAUAAGGGGCCUUUAGGGGCCAAGGUUGCCCAUAUUGAAUAACACCAUCCAGGAGUUUUUAUUACAGGAUUACAGCUCUAUUAGUACAUUAUAAGGUUGUUUAUAUAACAACACUUUUUCGAAAUGCGAAUUCGCAAGAGUUAUAUUAAUAAAAGAAAAUCAAAUAACCUACCCUAGCUACAUAAAUUACAUUUUAUAAAAUAAACAUGCCAUGAAUUUGUGGUGAUUCAUACAAUGAGCAGCACCAAAUUAACUAUGUACAACUUAAAUUUUAAAUAAGAAAAGACGAGAAACUGGGACUAGGUAAAAUAAUAGUCGUUGUCAAAUAAAAUGGCAUUUCGUUGAGAUAAAAGGUGGUGUUACAAAAAAAAACUACUGACUCGUACGAACCAGCCGCCAAAAAGCCGGUUACAUACAACCGAACAUCAACCGAAGAUAUAGUCUGACAAAAAAAACUAGAAAUUAAAAAGUGGCAAUACUGUAGUGUCGUCCCUUUCAAAUCAAUAUAUAUAAGAAAACGGGACGACACUACUGUAUUGCCACUUUUUUGUCAGACUGUACAUGUACUCUCAUUUUAAAACGACAUGCUUAAAUUUCACGAAAUCGGUAUGAACAUUCACGUAACAUAUGUGACGUACCACGGGUAAAGGUACCUUAUGUCGGUUGGCGUUUACGCUAUUAUUAACGCCGCUUGAAUAUUGUUGCGGCGCUAUGCGACGUAAACGCCAGCCGCCAUAAGGUACCUUUUUCCGUGGAACGUCACAUAUAUCUAUGUGGUGGACCUAGUCAACACAUAUUUAUUGACUAUAAAAGUAUUAAGAAAAAUUACACUAAGAAAUGUGCUUAAAACGAUUGCAUUAACUUGUUGAAGAAAUGAGACGACAUUUAAAUUAAUAACGAAGUCGACUGGUCUGUA